RNAcentral lists this ribosomal RNA (520 nucleotides) under uncultured bacterium. Its description in RNAcentral is "partial 16S ribosomal RNA". It matches the Rfam family "Bacterial small subunit ribosomal RNA", at positions 28 to 507 of the family's 1533-position model. The record is from RNAcentral.
GACGAACGCUGGCGGCGUGCCUAAUACAUGCAAGUCGAACGCACUCUCGUUUAGAUUGAAGGAGUUUGCUCCUGAUUGAUAAACAUUCGAGUGAGUGGCGGACGGGUGAGUAACACGUGGGUAACCUGCCCUAAAGUGGGGGAUAACAUUUGGAAACAGAUGCUAAUACCGCAUAAAACCUAACACCGCAUGGUGUAGGGUUGAAAGAUGGUUUCGGCUAUCACUUUAGGAUGGACCCGCGGUGCAUUAGUUAGUUGGUGAGGUAAAGGCUCACCAAGACCGUGAUGCAUAGCCGACCUGAGAGGGUAAUCGGCCACACUGGGACUGAGACACGGCCCAGACUCCUACGGGAGGCAGCAGUAGGGAAUCUUCCACAAUGGACGAAAGUCUGAUGGAGCAACGCCGCGUGAGUGAAGAAGGUUUUCGGAUCGUAAAACUCUGUUGUUGGAGAAGAAUGUAUCUGAUAGUAACUGAUCAGGUAGUGACGGUAUCCAACCAGAAAGCCACGGCUAACUACGUG